UACGAAGGGGGCUAGCGUUGCUCGGAAUCACUGGGCGUAAAGCGCACGUAGGCGGAUCUUUAAGUCAGGGGUGAAAUCCCAAGGCUCAACCUUGGAACUGCCUUUGAUACUGGGGAUCUCGAGUCCGGAAGAGGUUGGUGGAACUGCGAGUGUAGAGGUGAAAUUCGUAGAUAUUCGCAAGAACACCAGUGGCGAAGGCGGCCAACUGGUCCGGUACUGACGCUGAGGCACGAAAGCGUGGGGAGCAAACAGG
Molecule: ribosomal RNA, 253 nt
Filed under: uncultured bacterium
Lineage: Bacteria
Description: partial 16S ribosomal RNA
Rfam family: Bacterial small subunit ribosomal RNA
Source: RNAcentral